Clarias gariepinus (North African catfish) is the source of this 540-nucleotide non-coding RNA. The record is from the annotation of a RefSeq genome assembly. NCBI's taxonomy places the organism in Eukaryota, Metazoa, Chordata, Actinopteri, Siluriformes, Clariidae.
GUUGUGGUGUUUGCAUAUGUGUGCUGUGUCAGUGCUGCACACACUUUAAGAGCUGUAGUGCUGAUCAGAGUGUGUUCAGUCCUUUCAGAGCCACUGACACGCAGCACAAUGAUGAUGGUACUGAUUCUACUGCUGGGGACACUGGGACUCCUCGCUCACCAGUCCUUUGGGGAAAUCGUCCUGACUCAGUCUCCAGGAGCUCAGUCUGUUUCUCCAGGACAAUCUGUUACUCUCACCUGUACAACCAGUCAGAGUGUAGGCACUGACCUCCACUGGUAUCUACAGAAGCCUGGUGAAGCUCCUAAACUCCUGAUCUAUAAUGAUGUUACACGUUACACUGGGGUUCCAGAUCGUUUCAGUGGCCAUAGAUCUGGUUCAGAUAAUAGAGGAUUUACUCUACAAAUCUCUGGAGUUCAGACUGAAGAUGCAGGAGAUUAUUACUGUCAGCAAAGUGAGAGCUGGCCGUACACACAGUGUUAUAGCGCCGUACAAAAACCUCCCUCAGCUGUAGAGGAAGUGCUUUGAGUCAGAAACACACAG